UGGGGAUUGUUGGGGCAGUCCACUCACCAUCUUCUUCAUCAUCCCAGUCCUCAGGCUAAGAGAAAGGACA
RNAcentral lists this small RNA (70 nucleotides) under Arabidopsis thaliana (thale cress). Its description in RNAcentral is "ATSL005800". Lineage: Eukaryota; Viridiplantae; Streptophyta; Magnoliopsida; Brassicales; Brassicaceae. The record is from RNAcentral.